Molecule: ribosomal RNA, 540 nt
Filed under: uncultured bacterium
Lineage: Bacteria
Description: bacterial SSU rRNA
Rfam family: Bacterial small subunit ribosomal RNA
Source: RNAcentral
AGAGAAUAGAUACCCAGGUAGUCCACGCCGUAAACGAUGCACACUAGGCAUUGGGAGUAUCGACCCUUCUUGUGCCGAAAGCUAACGCGUUAAGUGUGCCGCCUGGGAAGUACGGUCGCAAGACUAAAACUCAAAGGAAUUGACGGGGGCUCGCACAAGCGGUGGAGCAUGUGGUUUAAUUCGACGACAAGCGGGGAACCUCACCCAGGCUUGACAUCUAGGGAAAGCCCAUGAAAGUGGGCCGUGCCGCAAGGAACCCUAAGACAGGUGUUGCACGGUCGUCGUCAGCUCGUGUCGUGAGAUGUACGGUUAAGUCCGUAAACGAGCGAAACCCUUAUCCGGUGUUAUAUUUUUCACCGGAGACUGCCGGCUUUAAGCCGGAGGAAGGUAGGGAUGACGUCAGAUCAGCGUGGCCCUUACGCCUGGGGGCAACACACGUGCUACAAUGCCAUAGACAAUGAGUCGCCAAGCUGCAAAGCGGAGCUAAUCUCAUCAAAAUAUGGCCCAGUUCGGAUUGGAGUCUGCAACUGACCCCAUGAA